Hylaeus volcanicus is the source of this 4166-nucleotide long non-coding RNA. RefSeq lists it as uncharacterized. The record is from RefSeq and is a predicted model, not a curated record. The transcript is spliced from 3 exons. Lineage: Eukaryota; Metazoa; Arthropoda; Insecta; Hymenoptera; Colletidae.
GAUAUUUUCCGGGAAAGGACCCGGCCUGCGCCAAAAUGAAAUCCACGAAAUCGGACAGACAGAGGUGCACGGUCACAAAGAGAAAGGAGGUAGACCGCCGUCCUCGUGGAUCGCGAUCCUCUAGCAUUCGCGAUUUCGCUUGAUAUAAUUCCGAGCUCCUCUGAGAACCGAGAACCUUAAACUGCGAUCGGGUUCUCAUUGGAUCUGUCAAAAGUCGCGGAAACGUCAAAUACGACUAAUCUGCAACGGUGGCGUGAAUCGAAUCGCCGGUUUCUAACCGGUGUUACUUUAUUUAAAGGGUUGGGCUUGCUCGUAGCUUCUGUCACCGCGCUGCUGGAUAUUGUCACGUUCCGAGAACUCUUUAGAUCCGUACGAAAAGAUUGGUCGCGGAGCUAGGAGAAACCGUUUGGUCGUUUUGGAAGUCUCGUUUCGUCGGAAAGCUGGUCAACGCCGUUGCUAGGCGUGCUGUUCGCUACUUUAGGGGGGCCCUCGGCAGAUAAUCAGGCAAGUCGGUCCUUCACCGACGCGUGUGACGCAUAGACACGGCACGAUACUUACCAAUCGCUGCCGGGUUACUUCUUAGACACGUAGUAACGCGUGCUCUGCUCGUGGCAUUUGGCCUUGAAACCAGAGAGAAAUCAUUCUGGCCGAUCGACCAGACAGACCGAUCUAUCCAGCCGACGAAAUACGGUUUCGACCUGCGAUUCUUCUCGAUCCCUGUAAACCGGUGUCGUACUUUCGUAGGCGUUUUCAUCGUUCAUUACGCAAUACAUUGUCCAUUGUAAUUUCGGCCCGUAGACAAUUUUUACUCGCUCCUGGCGAAAGCAGCUCGUAGUGGGGAAUAUCGACGCUGUAGAAGGGGAACCAUCAAAUCUCAUCGUUUCUCGCAUCUCGCUCUUCGAGAUUCUCGGUAGAAAUAUUUUACGCAGCGAGCGUUUCUCGAUCUAGCUAGCAAAUUAAACUAUGAAGCUAGCAAACGCUUGACAUUUGCGUGAACAAAAUCUACCUCGUGCGUAAGUUUCGUUCAAUUCCUCUCUUUCUCUCUUGAAGUCGCGUUUGAAGAAUACAUUACGUUCGAGUGAGAUGCUCGUGGGUCGUAUCAUUUUUUUCGACAGCACCGACAAGUUCAAGGCUCGUUUGAUUUAUGAAUCUGUACGUUGGUAAAGUAGACAAACUUGGAAGACAGAGAUUGGACAAAAUUUCACUCGAAUAAUGGAUGACCAGAAGCAACGUUUAACGAUUUAUCUGCUGUAUUCGUAAGGAUUUUGAAUAUGAGGCUUUUGCCAAUCUCUGCCCGGGAAAACAGUUUUGAGGUAGAUUAUGGCGAGGAGCGGCCAGAAAUCGCGUUUUACGCUCCCGAGGAUCGAGGAAGACUAACCAAUGAAGCAGAAUAAAGCGAGCAAAGAGAGACCAACGACAGCCGCCUGGCAUUCAUCCCAAGGAGCUUCUUUUCAUAAAUUCGUCGCCGCGUGGGCAUGUUAAUCGAGUAGGCAUGCCGUGUUAACUCUUUGGCCAGUACAAACGUGUAUUUACGUCAUGCCUUUACCGUGCUACGAACGCAAAUGUAUGCUUUUAAUUCUCAAUCAAUGUAACAGCCGCCAUUAAUUUGUUAACGUCGAUAGUUGGACGCGUUGCUACACGGUAGUUUUCUUUUUUAUGCGUCGGGGAUGUCAUUGUAAGUUCGAGAUUUUUCUAGCACUAGGAAAACCCACUGGUCGAAGGGUUAAAGAGUGGAAAUACGUGCAUGCAUGAUCCUCUGGGUGAAAACGAGCGCCGAGCGUGAAGAAUGACAGGGCGGAAGGGAGAGGAGGCGAUGCGACUCUCCCGGGAUGACGAGACAAGGAAGGGCGGUGGGCAAAUUUGAGGGUUGCGAGAGAGAAAGAGGGAUUGCUAGCGGAGGGUGAGCACGGUAAGGGGUGAGAGACAGAGGGAAGAUGGAAGGGGGAGAAGAGGGGGCCAUAGCAGAAGGAAAGUAUUGAUCUGUGCUCGCCUAUAUCCUACGUUUCUGUACACCUCCGUCACGGAUAUACCACGUUCGCCGUAAUUCCCGCCCCGGAACCACCAUGAACUUGAGUUUCAUCUCCACGUAAAUACCACCCUGAUCUUUCUCUUGAUUUUAGCAUAACGACAUCGAGAAGAGGAUAAAUAUUAAUCACCUGCGAGCUGAGUAUUACAUUCAUCGCGAUACCCCUGGAAUUAUAUUGGGCUGCCUGGAAAGUCCAUGGCGAUUUUUAGUAGGCGAUACAGGUCUGAAUAUAUCAGAAUGGCUGGAAACAAAUAAAAUGUGUACAUUCCUUAAGAGGUGAAAAGGUUGUGGAACAAAAUGGUACAUACAUAAUUCAAUAAAUAUACAUCAAAAUUCAAAUAUGCCUUUGAAUUUUUCUUAAAAAUAGGCAUGAACUUUCUGGACAACCCAAUAUGACUUGGCUUUGACGAGCUCGCACGCAGAGAUGGGCAAAAUUCCUGUCUAGAUAAAGAUUACGAGUAAAAUAUAAAUAAACUUUUCAAUUGUUACAGGUUGUGCGAUUAAUUAGAAUUUGAAUUACGGAAUUAUAUCUUGUCUCGUAUAUGGCAAGCAAUUAUAUGGCCUAAAUGUUUCCCAAAGGAUCUGGGAUCUAUUCGAAUAAAAUACUGUCCUUCUCUGGUCGCUUUUACUAUAGUAAUUCACCAUUUUAAAGCUGAGAGUUCUUUGCGUUCGAAUAUUUAAAUUUUGGUUUAGUCGACGAGCCAUUCCGAUAUAUUCAGACCUAUAUCGCCUACUAAAAAUCAGCAUGGACUUUCCAGACAGCCCAAUAUAUUCUCGAAGCGAAUUUGUUAUUCCAGGUCUUUGAAGAUACUCAUUUUGGUAGGGACUAAAGGAAUUUUAAAGGAAAGACGAAGACCGAGUAUUCCGGACGUAAAUGCUGAUACCAUGACCGUUUAAUCUGUCUCGUUACUUCACGCCUCCGUAAUAACUCUUUUUCACUCGGUUAUCGAACUUGACGUGGGACCCCGGAUUUCGACACCGUCCAUAAAUAAAACGCAACUAUUUUCAUCGAUUUUGUAAUAAUUUUCGUCUGGAUUUGUACACAACCGUGUUUCGAAUUAAUAGGACUCGUGGCAUUAAAGUAUUCUUGUUAUUCUUGAUAUAUGUUUACAAACACGUGGUCGAAAAAGUUUCACAACAGUAAUUGUAGCUUGUUAUGCUUACUACAGAAAGUAUCGUUGAUUUUCGAAAGUUUUACCUUCCAGUAACUUGUGUACAGUAUGGUUUAUUUUGAAACUUUACACGAAUCGAAUCGGAAGAAUUUUUGAACGCUGAAAUAUUUGUACAAACCAUUGAUCGAAUUUUUCGCAGUUCAUACGCGUAAUGCGACGCAGACCGAAGCACGUGUAUCUUGGUCGAUAUCAUUAUCAUCGAAUGCUGCACACCUGUAGAUAAUAAAUACAUAAUAGUAACCAACUUCCUCGCAAAGUUCAAGGGGCAGCGGGUUAAUACAUGCCUGUACGCUCGUUUUUCUCGCACAAAGGCUCUCCACUAUCUCAGAUGAAACUAAUAAUAUAUUCACACAGGGGUAGCUACGUAUUAAUAAUCGAUAGGUCAUUUCCAAUUUAUUACUUUACCAUGAUCUCGCAUAAUAUUCUUCGUCAAGUUUGAUACUUCCAUCCAAACGAGAUGUAUACGCUUUCUUUCUUUAUUUAAACGUUGUGUAGUCCUAAUGGACUGUUUACACAUUUCCUGAGACAUACAUCUCCUUAAUAUGAAGGUACAAACAUAGCUUUGUGAUAUAAAAAUAUAACUCUUUCAAAUGUAGUCUUACUUAUCUAACUUAUCUCUUAAUUAUUCUUAAUGCUUAAAUAACACAAUUGCAUAUUUGGUAUAUGUUGCAUUUACAUCUGAAUAUAUCUUAUAAUAUUAUAUUAAAUUAACCCGUCUUUGUUAUUGUUUUGUACUCCAAGAAAGAGAAGAAAGAGGGAAUGAGGAAAAAAAAGCUUAUGGCAAAACAAAAUGAUAUGACAUAAAACAAAUUAAACUUAGAUGUAUACGCGUAUAAAUAAUAAGUAUUUAAUGGAGUAAUGGCAAAAAUUGAUUAAUUCUGUUCUGUUGUUUAUCUAUAAUUUUGGAUGGUUUUAAAUUUAAUGGCACUGUUAUUGACAGUGUUAUUGACUAUGUUCGUCGGCGUAAU